Molecule: long non-coding RNA, 1088 nt
Filed under: Ananas comosus (pineapple)
Lineage: Eukaryota; Viridiplantae; Streptophyta; Magnoliopsida; Poales; Bromeliaceae
Description: long non-coding RNA (ACOM_LNC020853)
Source: RNAcentral
AUCCACUCCAUUAAAUAUGAUCUAGAGUUUUUAAAACUUUUAAAAAAUAAAUUUCGUAACUUUUUGAAAUUAUAAUAAAGUUCAUCAAGCGUGUAUAAAGUGAACGGUCAAAAUCGAACAACAUCCUAAAAAGGAUGAUCGGAUCGUUCAAUUUAAGAUCAGAGUUAUUGAUCUUUAUCUAAAUAAAAACAGAAUUUUUUAUAAAAAAAUCAACCAAUUUCGAUUUUUUUACACCAUUAAACUAAUUACUAUCUCAUCCCAACGGUUAAAAAUUAUUAAUUUUGAGAUCUUUUGAUCAAAAGAUAAAUAAUGUCAAAAAAAAUUAUAAAAUUUGAUUUCUAAAAAUUUUAAAUACUCUAGAUAAUAUUUAACGUCAAUUCGGAAGCUCUAUCAUCGAAAACAACUUAUAAAUGCGAAGGUGAUCGUACUCAUAAAAAUAUAGUAAUCAAACUUUCUAUCACUCUCUCUCUAUAUAUAUAAGCUAGCUCUAUCGAGUCAAACACGAAUUAGUUGAUUUCAGAUCGUGUUCAACUCAAUCCUUAAGACAGUGUUUGGAUUGAGGAUAAGGGGAGGGAUAACCCCUUAUCCCCCUUUAUACUUAGACGCAAAUUUUUUAUCCGAGAAUAAUAGUUCUCGGAUACCUGAAAUAAACUGGUAUUACUAUCCCCACCAACAUCUUCAUUUUUUAUAUAUAACUACCUACUAUUUUUUUUAUUCCAUAUUAUCUAUCCAAACGUUAUUUUUCUUAUCCUCGGAAACAAUUCAAUUUUCAUCCAAACGCUAUUUUGCUUAUCCUCAUACUUGUACCUAUCCCUGUAAUAGUUAAUUCUUACUUAUUUCCAAAACAAACGGUACGAUCAAUUUCGAGCUCCUUACAAACGAGGGAUUUUACAUUGUCACACUUGCACUAUAUCAUCGAUAACAAGUCAAUCACAUUUCUUCUUUUCAAACAAAAGUAUAAUACAAAUAUUUUUUUAUAAUCAUGAUGAAACAUAUAUCUUUAAAAAAAAUAUUUAAUUAAUUUAUUAUGCCACGUCAUUAAUAUAUCCGGUGUAUUCUAGAAUUUUUCCUAACCAACUAAUUGCCUA